UCUCUUGUGCUAAGGUGCAUCUAGUGCAGUUAGUGAAAUAGUUCAGAAUCUACUGCCCUAAAUGCCCCUUCUGGCACAAGCU
This is a microRNA precursor of Ictidomys tridecemlineatus (thirteen-lined ground squirrel), 82 nucleotides long. NCBI's taxonomy places the organism in Eukaryota, Metazoa, Chordata, Mammalia, Rodentia, Sciuridae. The record is from Ensembl.